GAUGAAGAACGUAGCGAAAUGCGAUACGUAAUGUGAAUUGCAAAUUCAGUGAAUCAUCGAGUCUUUGAACGCACAUUGCGCCCCCUGGUAUUCCGGGGGGCAUGCCUGUCCGAGCGUCAUUGCUGCCCUCAAGCAUGGCUUGUGUGUUGGGCCCCGUCCUCCGAUCCCGGGGGACGGGCCCGAAAGGCAGCGGCGGCACCGCGUCCGGUCCUCGAGCGUAUGGGGCUUUGUCACCCGCUCUGUAGGCCCGGCCGGCGCUUGCCGAUCAACCCAAAUUUUUAUCCAGGUUGACCUCGGAUCAGGUAGGGAUACCCGCUGAACUUAAGCAUAUCAAUAAGCGGAGGA
Molecule: unclassified non-coding RNA, 345 nt
Filed under: soil metagenome
Description: partial contains 5.8S ribosomal RNA, internal transcribed spacer 2, and large subunit ribosomal RNA
Rfam family: 5.8S ribosomal RNA (bases 1-119)
Source: RNAcentral